Molecule: ribosomal RNA, 502 nt
Filed under: uncultured bacterium
Lineage: Bacteria
Description: partial 16S ribosomal RNA
Rfam family: Bacterial small subunit ribosomal RNA
Source: RNAcentral
AUUGAACGCUGGCGGCAGGCUUAACACAUGCAAGUCGAGCGGGGUGAUGGUGCUUGCACUAUCACUUAGCGGCGGACGGGUGAGUAAUGCUUAGGAAUCUGCCUAUUAGUGGGGGACAACAUCUCGAAAGGGAUGCUAAUACCGCAUACGUCCUACGGGAGAAAGCAGGGGAUCUUUAUGACCUUGCGCUAAUAGAUGAGCCUAAGUCGGAUUAGCUAGUUGGUGGGGUAAAGGCCUACCAAGGCGACGAUCUGUAGCGGGUCUGAGAGGAUGAUCCGCCACACUGGGACUGAGACACGGCCCAGACUCCUACGGGAGGCAGCAGUGGGGAAUAUUGGACAAUGGGGGGAACCCUGAUCCAGCCAUGCCGCGUGUGUGAAGAAGGCCUUAUGGUUGUAAAGCACUUUAAGCGAGGGGGAGGCUCUUUUGGUUAAUACCCAGAAUGAGUGGACGUUACUCGCAGAAUAAGCACCGGCUAACUCUGUGCCAGCAGCCGCUGUAA